RNAcentral lists this small nuclear RNA (100 nucleotides) under Marchantia polymorpha subsp. ruderalis. Lineage: Eukaryota; Viridiplantae; Streptophyta; Marchantiopsida; Marchantiales; Marchantiaceae. The record is from RNAcentral.
GCGGACGUAGCUACUUAUAAAAUUGGAAAGAUACAGAUAAGAUUAGCAUGGCCCAACCGCAAGGAUCACACGCACAAUUCGAGAAAAUAGUCCAUAGUUC